This 200-nucleotide ribosomal RNA is filed under the name uncultured bacterium. Its description in RNAcentral is "partial 16S ribosomal RNA". It matches the Rfam family "Bacterial small subunit ribosomal RNA", at positions 29 to 257 of the family's 1533-position model. The record is from RNAcentral.
AGUGAUCAUUGGCGGCAGGCUUAACACAUGCAAGUCGAGCGAGGCUACGAGCCGAGCGGCGAACGGGUGAGUAAUACUUGGGAAUCUGCCCUGGAGUGGGGGAUAACAACCAGAAAUGGUUGCUAACACCGCAUAAUCCAUAUUGGGAAAACGUUUAGUGCUCUAGGAUGAGCCCAAGUCUGAUUAGCUAGUUGGGGGGG